This 2924-nucleotide ribosomal RNA is filed under the name Klebsiella quasipneumoniae. RNAcentral's name for it is "23S ribosomal RNA". It matches the Rfam family "Bacterial large subunit ribosomal RNA". The record is from RNAcentral. Lineage: Bacteria; Pseudomonadati; Pseudomonadota; Gammaproteobacteria; Enterobacterales; Enterobacteriaceae.
GGGUUGUGAGGUUAAGCGACUAAGCGUACACGGUGGAUGCCCUGGCAGUCAGAGGCGAUGAAGGACGUGCUAAUCUGCGAAAAGCGUCGGUAAGGUGAUAUGAACCGUUAUAACCGGCGAUGUCCGAAUGGGGAAACCCAGUGUGAUUCGUCACACUAUCGUUAACUGAAUACAUAGGUUAACGAGGCGAACCGGGGGAACUGAAACAUCUAAGUACCCCGAGGAAAAGAAAUCAACCGAGAUUCCCCCAGUAGCGGCGAGCGAACGGGGAGCAGCCCAGAGUCUGAAUCAGCUUGUGUGUUAGUGGAACGGUCUGGAAAGUCCGACGGUACAGGGUGAUAGUCCCGUACACCAAAAUGCACAGGUUGUGAACUCGAAGAGUAGGGCGGGACACGUGGUAUCCUGUCUGAAUAUGGGGGGACCAUCCUCCAAGGCUAAAUACUCCUGACUGACCGAUAGUGAACCAGUACCGUGAGGGAAAGGCGAAAAGAACCCCGGCGAGGGGAGUGAAAAAGAACCUGAAACCGUGUACGUACAAGCAGUGGGAGCACCUUUAUGGUGUGACUGCGUACCUUUUGUAUAAUGGGUCAGCGACUUAUAUUCUGUAGCAAGGUUAACCGUAUAGGGGAGCCGCAGGGAAACCGAGUCUUAACUGGGCGUUAAGUUGCAGGGUAUAGACCCGAAACCCGGUGAUCUAGCCAUGGGCAGGUUGAAGGUUGGGUAACACUAACUGGAGGACCGAACCGACUAAUGUUGAAAAAUUAGCGGAUGACUUGUGGCUGGGGGUGAAAGGCCAAUCAAACCGGGAGAUAGCUGGUUCUCCCCGAAAGCUAUUUAGGUAGCGCCUCGUGAACUCAUCUUCGGGGGUAGAGCACUGUUUCGGCUAGGGGGUCAUCCCGACUUACCAACCCGAUGCAAACUACGAAUACCGAAGAAUGUUAUCACGGGAGACACACGGCGGGUGCUAACGUCCGUCGUGAAGAGGGAAACAACCCAGACCGCCAGCUAAGGUCCCAAAGUCAUGGUUAAGUGGGAAACGAUGUGGGAAGGCACAGACAGCCAGGAUGUUGGCUUAGAAGCAGCCAUCAUUUAAAGAAAGCGUAAUAGCUCACUGGUCGAGUCGGCCUGCGCGGAAGAUGUAACGGGGCUAAACCAUGCACCGAAGCUGCGGCAGCGACACUAUGUGUUGUUGGGUAGGGGAGCGUUCUGUAAGCCUGCGAAGGUGACCUGUGAGGGUUGCUGGAGGUAUCAGAAGUGCGAAUGCUGACAUAAGUAACGAUAAAGCGGGUGAAAAGCCCGCUCGCCGGAAGACCAAGGGUUCCUGUCCAACGUUAAUCGGGGCAGGGUGAGUCGACCCCUAAGGCGAGGCCGAAAGGCGUAGUCGAUGGGAAACAGGUUAAUAUUCCUGUACUUGGUGUUACUGCGAAGGGGGGACGGAGAAGGCUAUGUUAGCCGGGCGACGGUUGUCCCGGUUUAAGCAUGUAGGCUGGUUAUCCAGGCAAAUCCGGAUAAUCAAGGCUGAGGUGUGAUGACGAGGCACUACGGUGCUGAAGUAACAAAUGCCCUGCUUCCAGGAAAAGCCUCUAAGCAUCAGGUAACAUCAAAUCGUACCCCAAACCGACACAGGUGGUCAGGUAGAGAAUACCAAGGCGCUUGAGAGAACUCGGGUGAAGGAACUAGGCAAAAUGGUGCCGUAACUUCGGGAGAAGGCACGCUGGUGUGUAGGUGAAGCCCCUGCGGGUGGAGCUGAGACCAGUCGAAGAUACCAGCUGGCUGCAACUGUUUAUUAAAAACACAGCACUGUGCAAACACGAAAGUGGACGUAUACGGUGUGACGCCUGCCCGGUGCCGGAAGGUUAAUUGAUGGGGUUAUCCGUAAGGAGAAGCUCUUGAUCGAAGCCCCGGUAAACGGCGGCCGUAACUAUAACGGUCCUAAGGUAGCGAAAUUCCUUGUCGGGUAAGUUCCGACCUGCACGAAUGGCGUAAUGAUGGCCAGGCUGUCUCCACCCGAGACUCAGUGAAAUUGAACUCGCUGUGAAGAUGCAGUGUACCCGCGGCAAGACGGAAAGACCCCGUGAACCUUUACUAUAGCUUGACACUGAACAUUGAGCCUUGAUGUGUAGGAUAGGUGGGAGGCUUUGAAGCGUGGACGCCAGUCUGCGUGGAGCCAACCUUGAAAUACCACCCUUUAAUGUUUGAUGUUCUAACGUUGGCCCCUUACCGGGGUUGCGGACAGUGUCUGGUGGGUAGUUUGACUGGGGCGGUCUCCUCCCAAAGCGUAACGGAGGAGCACGAAGGUUAGCUAAUCCUGGUCGGACAUCAGGAGGUUAGUGCAAUGGCAUAAGCUAGCUUGACUGCGAGCGUGACGGCGCGAGCAGGUGCGAAAGCAGGUCAUAGUGAUCCGGUGGUUCUGAAUGGAAGGGCCAUCGCUCAACGGAUAAAAGGUACUCCGGGGAUAACAGGCUGAUACCGCCCAAGAGUUCAUAUCGACGGCGGUGUUUGGCACCUCGAUGUCGGCUCAUCACAUCCUGGGGCUGAAGUAGGUCCCAAGGGUAUGGCUGUUCGCCAUUUAAAGUGGUACGCGAGCUGGGUUUAGAACGUCGUGAGACAGUUCGGUCCCUAUCUGCCGUGGGCGCUGGAGAAUUGAGGGGGGCUGCUCCUAGUACGAGAGGACCGGAGUGGACGCAUCACUGGUGUUCGGGUUGUCAUGCCAAUGGCACUGCCCGGUAGCUAAAUGCGGAAGAGAUAAGUGCUGAAAGCAUCUAAGCACGAAACUUGCCCCGAGAUGAGUUCUCCCUGAGACUUUAAGUCUCCUGAAGGAACGUUAAAGACGAUGACGUUGAUAGGCCGGGUGUGUAAGCGCAGCGAUGCGUUGAGCUAACCGGUACUAAUGAACCGUGAGGCUUAACCUUACAACGCCGAAG